Molecule: ribosomal RNA, 423 nt
Filed under: uncultured bacterium
Lineage: Bacteria
Description: bacterial SSU rRNA
Rfam family: Bacterial small subunit ribosomal RNA
Source: RNAcentral
GUAAGGAAUAUUGGUCAAUGGAGGCAACUCUGAACCAGCCAUGCCGCGUGAAGGAUUAAGGCCCUCUGGGUUGUAAACUUCUUUUAUAUGGGAAGAAAUGUUCUGAUUCUUCAGAGCUUGACGGUACCAUAGGAAUAAGCACCGGCUAACUCCGUGCCAGCAGCCGAGGUAAUACGGAGGGUGCAAGCGUUAUCCGGAUUCACUGGGUUUAAAGGGUGCGUAGGUGGGCAGAUAAGUCAGUGGUGAAAUCUUCCGGCUUAACCGGAAAAUUGCCGUUGAUACUAUUUGUCUUGAAUAUUGUGGAGGUAAGCGGAAUAUGUCAUGUAGCGGUGAAAUGCUUAGAUAUGACAUAGAACACCAAUUGCGAAGGCAGCUUACUAUAUAAUUAUUGACACUGAGGCACGAAGGCGUGGGGAUCAAACA